Molecule: ribosomal RNA, 465 nt
Filed under: uncultured bacterium
Lineage: Bacteria
Description: partial 16S ribosomal RNA
Rfam family: Bacterial small subunit ribosomal RNA
Source: RNAcentral
GACGAACGCUGGCGGCGUGCUUAACACAUGCAAGUCGAACGGAAAGGCCCCUUUGGGGGUACUCGAGUGGCGAACGGGUGAGUAACACGUGAGUAACCUGCCCUUGACUUCGGGAUAACUUCAGGAAACUGGGGCUAAUACCGGAUAGGAAUCCUUGCUGCAUGGUGGGGGUUGGAAAGCUUCGGCGGUUUUGGAUGGACUCGCGGCUUAUCAGCUUGUUGGUGGGGUAGUGGCUUACCAAGGCUUUGACGGGUAGCCGGCCUGAGAGGGCGACCGGCCACAUUGGGACUGAGAUACGGCCCAGACUCCUACGGGAGGCAGCAGUGGGGAAUAUUGCACGAUGGGCGGAAGCCUGAUGCAGCAACGCCGCGUGCGGGAUGACGGCCUUCGGGUUGUAAACCGCUUUCAGCAGGGGCGAAGCUUGUGGUGACGGUACCUGCAGAAGAAGCACCGGCUAACUACGUG